This 497-nucleotide ribosomal RNA is filed under the name uncultured bacterium. RNAcentral's name for it is "partial 16S ribosomal RNA". It matches the Rfam family "Bacterial small subunit ribosomal RNA", at positions 28 to 507 of the family's 1533-position model. The record is from RNAcentral.
GAUGAACGCUGGCGGCGUGCCUAAUACAUGCAAGUCGAGCGAACGGACGAGAAGCUUGCUUCUCUGAUGUUAGCGGCGGACGGGUGAGUAACACGUGGAUAACCUACCUAUAAGACUGGGAUAACUUCGGGAAACCGGAGCUAAUACCGGAUAAUAUUUUGAACCGCAUGGUUCAAAAGUGAAAGACGGUCUUGCUGUCUCUUAUAGAUGGAUCCGCGCUGCAUUAGCUAGUUGGUAAGGUAACGGCUUACCAAGGCAACGAUGCAUAGCCGAUCUGAGAGGGUGAUCGGCCACACUGGAACUGAGACACGGUCCAGACUCCUACGGGAGGCAGCAGUAGGGAAUAUUCCGCAAUGGGCGAAAGCCUGACGGAGCAACGCCGCGUGAGUGAUGAAGGUCUUCGGAUCGUAAAACUCUGUUAUUAGGGAAGAACAUAUGUGUAAGUAACUGUGCACAUCUUGACGGUACCUAAUCAGAAAGCAACGGCUAACUACGUG